UCCAGUCCUUGCCCAAUCCCACGCCCAGCCCCUUUCCCCUCCAAUUUCCAUAGUCGCGGCACCCUCCCUCCUUCCGCACGAACCCUAGCAAUUGCCAUCCGCCACCCUCGCUCCUCCCAGCCGCCUCCAUGCUCGCUUCCUCCUCCUCCAUCCUCCCAUGCUGGUCUCCCCCUCCCGCAUCUCAUUCAUCUCGUUGGAUCCAACGCGAGGCGAUCUUCUGCGGCGGCGACCCCAUGGAUCCGUCCCUGAGAAGAUGAGAAUGAGAGAGAGAGAGGAAAGAGGAAAGGGAGGUCCAGCGGCGGAGGGGAGAGGGCACCUCUGCCCCUUCCUCUUCCCGCGUCGCCGCCGAGGAUGACGACCGCCUGAUCCAAGAGGCUACACAAGGAUGCGAAGAAGAACAUGAAACACGAGUUGCUUGCCUGCUACAUGGAGGAGGUAAGGCGAACCCAGUCUGUGCCUCCCUUCAUUGGCUAGUUGAUGGAGAUGGUUGAUGGCAACAACGGCUUCGAAGUCCACCACUGUGAGCUGCUCAAGGCGUCUGUCUCGGUUGACCUGCUCCGCCGUCUCCCUUUCCCCUUCUGGUGGCCCCUCCCUACGAAGACGAUGACAGGGAGGAGGGCCCGCCUUUUCCUCAGAGAGGAGGUCGACCGUGGGAGUCUUUGUGUGGAAUGAAGCGAAACAGCAGGAAGGAAAUAGAGCGGGUCGUGUGUCAUCGUGCACAGUCUGCCUUCCAUUGUGUGAGUACUCGCACUUGGAUCGCCCAAUUGUGUGUGCACAGCAGGGGACCAUGCACUGGAACAUCGAAUUCAACCUGCUCACAAGUUGAAGAGAAGGCUACAUAUGCUUUUUGUAGCCAGUACUAAGUAAUCUAAUGAUCCGCUCCUUGCAAUCUAAGAAAAAUAAACAUUCAAGUAAUUUUUGAUCGUAGGUCUGGCUACCAACUAUUUGUGUUUGUGUCUACAAGCUUUUGAAUAUUUUGUCUGGUCUAUUGUUUAUUUGCAAUGUUGGACACUCUUGCCAUUUCCUAUGAUUUUUUUUGUUUGAUCUUACUCUCAAUAAACUGCAUAUUAACUCUGAUGAAUGAGUAUUUUCAGAUUAGAUUGGGUGGCCCCGACAUUGUCUCAGAUCCGAGCGAAUACCAAAAACAUAUGUCAGUUCUGUAGCAUAAAUAGAUUUACAUUUCUUUUCUUUUGCUCCAUUUUUGGUAUGUGUUUUGUCCAUACGAAUUGUUUCACCGAAGCAUGCACAUAGUAGUCAUUGCUUGAGUUAUGAUUGUAACUUACGAUUCUUCAUGUGUUGUUCACUAUAUUUGCCUAUAUGCAUUUAAACGAUGGUGUCCUGCAUAUGUAGUCAGGAAGCUACUAGCAGUACUGUUAGUUAAGGCUUUUCACCCUGUUCAUUAGUUUUACUUUGUGCGUACUGAAAGUAACCAAUAUGCUUCUGGAUCUGUGCUUUGGUAGCCCCGCAAUGUUCUGUUGGAGCACAAGAGAUUAAAGCUUCUGAAGUACUAGACCUGGCAAUUUCUUGUUUUUAGGCCUGUAUGCUCCAUUCUGAUUAUUACACUUCGGCUUGUUGGGCUGUACACCAGUAGGGUCAGCUGGACAUUCACAUUUAUACUGAAAUUUUUCAGUCUCCAUGGCAUUAUAUGCCUUGGUCAUAUUCUAUCACUUGUUUGCCAAGGAGUUGGUAGCUCACAAGCCUCUUGCUAUGUUUUUGUGCAUGAAAGGGAUUGUCUUGUCUUUCUCGCUGGUAAACCACUUCCUCUCCUGGCGUAAAGACUUCUGAAAAUUAUUGUAAUUAUCAUUGGGGUUAGUUUUUUUCCUGUGUGUCUGAAUGUUAUUGAUGUAAUUGUACGCAAGUUUGUCUUCGUGGUUGCAUCGGACAUUUAGUUAAGGUGGCGAUAUUGGUUUAGUAAUGUUGAUAGUUAAGGCCUUUUAUUCUUGCCAUGUUAUCUGCUAUGAUUUUGCAUGAAGCCCUCCUCUCACUCACUCUUUGGAUUUGUUCAGCAUGAUAUUUAAUUACCUUAUUUUGUUAUUAUGGCUAAGGUUAUCAGUCUAGGAGCUUUAUCUGCAGUUUAAUUUUCCAUGCAUUGCCAUGUAAAUAUUCAAAUUCAGAAAGAAAAUAAAAAUAAAGGUCGCAAAGAAACAACUAUGCACGGUGAAAAAUAAAGCUAGAGAUAAGUUUGAAACGAGUUUAUGAGCAUAAAUCAGUUAAAUUAUUUCACCUUUCAACACACAACUUUGCUGCUGUAGACAUUCCCAGUGGACUGUUGCUGUUAGUGAACCACCCUAUUGUCUAUGGGUGCUUGAGACUAACAUUCUAACUUGCAAUCCUUAGCGGUAGGAAACUAAAUAGGUAAAUACGACACCCGUUCCAUUUUGUGACACAAUUUCUUUUUAUCAAUUCAAAUCUGAUCAAACUCCUGCUUCUUGAAUAUGGUUAUCUGUCUAUAGGGUUGUGUACUGGACAUUUUGGCUGCUGUAGGGGUUAUUCAGACUCGCCAUUUCUAGCUGGACGUCGAGCGCAUACAGGAUGCAAUCCAGAAUGUCUUGAUUAUCGUAGAAAGGGUUAUCUUCUUGGUCCUCUAGCAAUAUGUGUACCAUGUCGCUCCGUACAGUGGCGCUGACAAGGCGAAAUCCGUGAAGAAAGAAUGAUUCAGGGCUUCGUGCCAAGCAAUAACUGCAGCUGGUUCUUGUAUGAUUUUGUGUGUAUGUGCUGGGAGUAUUGAUUCUAGGUGUUAUAGGAUAUGCAUAUUUCCUUGUGAACAUGUGUAGAGUGAGUAGUUGUUAUAUGCCUUGAACAUUAGAAAACCAGAUGACGAGGAACGACAUAUAGGAAAGCUACUGUUGUUACCGUGUUGUGAGAUUAUGUAAAGCCUGAACAAAGAGAAUUUUGGGGGUUCCACUCGAAUUUGGUCUAGAAUAAAUGGUUGUUUCCUAUUGCUUGUUCAAAAACUUGUCUGAAAUUAUUAGAGUGAUAUGAGUCCAGGUAUGGUUUGGGCUGUCUGUGUGCUUUCUCACACAAAGCUAAUGGAAAAAUGGAAAUAUUUUCAAAGCGCACAUGGUCUCAAAUGGGCCUCCACGCCAUUACAUAAUCUCGGUCUGAGGUUGCUGCUUAUUUGUUCUGCUAGCGAAGGUUUGUUCACUUCCUUUUCUAUCUAGCUGCUGCAUUGUUUUCUUUGGUAUGUGUUGUCAUGGUCAUUAGUUUAGAUUGUGUUAAUAUUCAGGAUUUGGCACAGUUGUGUUCUGUUUUGGCUCAUGCUUGCUGCUUGCGUGAUUGAACAUCUGGUGUUUUGUCCGAUCAACCAUUUGUGAACACUAACUUUCAAUCAUGAAUCAUAUCCAGAUCAUAGCCAUCAUAGAACAUUUUUACCAGAUUCCUCUUGCUAUCACCACAAGGGGAAAUUGCUUAUGGUGGCAAUAUGCUCUUCUAUGCUGUCAGAUUGACUCUUUUUAUUAGCAUGUAGACUAACUUUUAGUUCACUAAGAUUAGUUUUUGUUCACAUUGCUCUGUAUAUAAGAAAGGGAUUGUUGUGAUGAAAAGGUGUAUGACAUUCUGGCAAAACAUUGUUUAGUAAAAAUUAUGUAGAGGUAAAUUUUAGAGGUGAAAUGUUGUGGAUGUUCUGACGGGGAGAUGCUUGGGCUAACUUUAGCGUCACACUUUAUUCAAUAUCUGGGUAUUGGGUUCUACUAAUUGUCAGCACCUUUAUUUUUUGUUUUCCUCCCAAUUCCAUGAGAUAUUUAUUAGACUAUAAAUCACAUGCUUGCAAGUCAUUAUGUCAUCUUUCUCUAACCACCCCCUCCCAUCAUCUUGGCUUGCAGGUCGCCGUGUGUCUCCCGCCAGUCCGCGACAUAGCUUGCAAUCUAGGUUGGUGCCAAAUUAACUUAGGAUUGGUAUCCUACAAUGUAUUUGUGUAUUAGUGUAGCAAGCACAUGUGAAGGUGGGAUUACAUUCUAUACUCUUGAAACUAUGUAGAAUUUUGCAUGCGCAUUGUUCACUUAAGCAAAAUAGAGAUCCCCUAACUAGCAGAUCAAUGUUGGCUAUGAUCGCAUUUUUUUUACAUUGUCAUAUUUGUAGAUAUACUGUCUGAUGGAGUAUCAUCUAGCUGCCUUUGGUCGCACUUAGUAUAAAAGUC
Molecule: ribosomal RNA, 4135 nt
Filed under: Triticum aestivum (bread wheat)
Lineage: Eukaryota; Viridiplantae; Streptophyta; Magnoliopsida; Poales; Poaceae
Description: partial small subunit ribosomal RNA
Source: RNAcentral